Molecule: small nuclear RNA, 164 nt
Organism: Chanos chanos (milkfish)
Lineage: Eukaryota; Metazoa; Chordata; Actinopteri; Gonorynchiformes; Chanidae
Product: U1 spliceosomal RNA
Exons: 1
Source: RefSeq, a predicted model, not a curated record
UCACUUAUCUGGCAGGGGAGACACCAUGAUGACGAAGGUGGUUCACCCAGGGCGAGGCUUAGCCACUGCACUUGGGCUAUGCUGACCUCUGUGAAUUUCCCAAAUGCGGGAAUCUCGACUGCAUAAUUUGUGGUAGCGGGCGAGUGCGUUUGCGCUCACACCUC